RNAcentral lists this long non-coding RNA (920 nucleotides) under Sinocyclocheilus grahami. Its description in RNAcentral is "lncRNA (ENSSGRG00000034441.1)". Lineage: Eukaryota; Metazoa; Chordata; Actinopteri; Cypriniformes; Cyprinidae. The record is from RNAcentral.
UAUUUCUCCGUUAGGUCUCCGGCGACCAGCCCGACCCCUCAGAGACGGGCCCCUCCUCCAGGGCCUCCGGCACGCCCAGGUUCUCGUGGCUCGGCCCCGGGGCCUCCUGCUGCCGGCGGGCCACCCGUUCCCUCUCGCCCGGGAGCCUCUCCGGACCCCUUCGGCGUGCCCCCACCUCAGGUCCCAUCCCGGCCUAACCGUGCACCUCCCAGCGUGCCCAGGUGAGACUCGAUUAUAUCAGACAGUAGAAACUGCUAAUUAAAUAACAUAUUUGUGCUGGAAAACAAUCAUAAUGCACUCAGAUUGAGGCAUAAAUAUGUGUAAUUGGCACCCCCCGGUUCUCGUGGCUCGGCCCCGGGGCCCCCUGCUGCCGGCGGGCCCCCCGUUCCCUCUCGCCCGGGAGCCUCUCCAGACCCCUUCGGCGUGCCCCCACCUCAGGUCCCAUCCCGGCCUAACCGUGCACCUCCCAGCGUGCCCAGCCGCGGAAUGUGAGACUAACCGCUGGAGUAAAUGCAGUGGUGUGGGUGAGUUAACCGGUCACCAUACCAACGUUUAAACCAUAAGCAACCAUCACCGAAAGUCAUCAGAUCAGAUUCAGAUGUCCACAGUCUGGCGUCCUGCUUCUAACUCUUAUUAUCGUUCAAACGUUACAGAUUUAAACCAUAUUAGAUGCACAGUGUGUUCUCAGUAGGGCUGGGUGAUAUAACAAAUAUUCACAAUGAGUUUAACACUGAACAAAUAGGAAAAAUUGUCACAAUAUUCACAAAGAUCGGAUCAUUAGACUAGGUUCAGGAUUCUUACUUUUCUCGUGACAGAAAUCUCUGCGUGGCAUUUUUCAUAUAUUACUAUGUUUUAGCAUAAAUACACUACCAAGGGCAAGUUUAUGAAAGUCUCUUCUGCUCAUCAAGGCUGCAUUUAUU